CCUACGGGCGGCAGCAGUGGGGAAUAUUGCACAAUGGGGGAAACCCUGAUGCAGCGACGCCGCGUGAGUGAAGAAGUAAUUCGUUAUGUAAAGCUCUAUUCGUAGGGAAGAAAAAUACGGUAAGUGAGUAAGAAGCCCCGGCUAACUACGUGCCCGCCGCCCCGGUAAUACGGAGGGGGCCAGGGUUAUACGGAUUUACUGGGUGUAAAGGGGGCGUAGAUGGGAGGGCAAGUCUGGAGUGAAAGGCGGGGGCUCAACCCCCGGAUUGCACGGGAAACUGGACGGCUGGAGUACAGGAGAGGUAAGUGGAAUUCCGAGUGUAGCGGUGAAAUGCUUAGAUAUUAGGAGGAACACCAGUUGCGAAGGCAGCUUACUGGACUGUAACUGACGUUGAGGCUCGAAAGCGUGGGUAGCAAACAGGAUUAGAUACCCGAGUAGUC
RNAcentral lists this ribosomal RNA (440 nucleotides) under uncultured bacterium. RNAcentral's name for it is "partial 16S ribosomal RNA". It matches the Rfam family "Bacterial small subunit ribosomal RNA", at positions 338 to 795 of the family's 1533-position model. The record is from RNAcentral.